Molecule: long non-coding RNA, 1350 nt
Organism: Alligator mississippiensis (American alligator)
Lineage: Eukaryota; Metazoa; Chordata; Crocodylia; Alligatoridae
Exons: 3
Source: RefSeq, a predicted model, not a curated record
CCCCCCAGCUGCGGCGGCGGCAGCUGACGCAGCAGGAGUAGAACGCUGGGGGCAGCCAAUCCGUAGGGCCGGAGCUGGCUCCGACCGUUUAUCCCGACCGUUUAUCCCCCCGACGCCGACAAGAAACUGCAGUCCGAGCCCCUGCUGAGGGGAGUGGGGGAACCAAUCCCGGCCGUCCCUCUACCCGUGCUGAGGAGACCGCGUUACUCACCGGCAGGUCCGCAACGGCAGCAGAACGAGGAAGAAGAUUCCAAUUCAUAGCUGGGAUGUUACCAUUGGUAACUCUGUGUCCAAUGGCAACUUAUCCACCAAUAAACCGUUUGGGAGGCAGAUUAGUAAUAGCUGAACUGGAACACUUGCUGAAGAAUGUGGGACAAAGGUCAUGGGGGCAGAGCUGGAAGACUCUACAAAGUGCUAAACUCAAAUAGGCUUUCACCCAGCAAGGACACUCGUCCAGAGAGGUAGAUCGCACGUUUGAAAGAGCCACCUGGAUACCAUGUGAAGAACUGCUGCAGUACAGAAGAAAACCCCCCACAAAUCGCACACUGCUGGUUAUGACAUAUCACUCCUCCCUUGAACCUGUAUGGAAAAUCCUCAAAAAAUUGCAACCCAUAUUAGAAAGAGACCCUAUUCUUAAAAAGAUCUUCCCAGAGCCACCCAUCCUAGCCUUUAAACAAGCACUGAAUCUCGCCAACCUCAUCACCAGAAGCAAACUUCCUCAAGCCCAGAACACACCAAAAGGAUCCAGACCGUGCCAUGACAAGAAAUGCAAAACCUGCCAACACAUCUCCACCACCCCCACAAUUACUACACCCCACAACAGAGCCAUCAGCAUCCCAGGAUCUUACAGCUGCACCUCCAGAAAUGUAAUAUACCUCAUCCAAUGCACCAAAUGCCCUGAUGGAAAAUAUGUAGGAGAGACCAAACAACAACUGCGCACCAGAAUGAACGCACACCAGAAAUCCAUCAAAGACAGAAAUACCCAAUUACCGGUGGGGGCACAUUUCUCACAGGAGGGCCACUCUCUCUCCAAUCUCUCAGUCCUGAUCCUCAAGGGAAAUUUACACAACACUUUCCAGAGACGAGCCUAUGAGCUCCAUUUCAUCAACCUCCUGGAUACUAGAGAUCAUGGACUAAACAUAGACAUUGGAUUUUUGAUACAUUAUAAUCUGCCUGGCAACUGACUCCCCAGCCCAGCCCCUGGCUUCUUUACUUUUCAUUCCAUCUGGGAAGAGCACACACCAACUGCUGAAACUUCCUUAGCCUGACGAAGGGUUUUUGAACCCGAAAGCUUGCUUAAUAACUAUUCUCCAACUAUUUGGGUUGGUCUAAUAAAAGAUAUCAAAUUCA